AGAACAUUGAGAGGACUUUUCCCUAAUACAAGAGGAUCGGGAAGGACACACUACUGGUAUACCAGUAUCGUACCCACGAUAAAUAUUGAGUAGCCAAGUGCAGAGCAGAUAACUGUUAAAAGCAUCUAAGUAAUAAGCCCACCCCAAGAUGAGUGCUCU
RNAcentral lists this non-coding RNA (159 nucleotides) under Gossypium hirsutum (cotton). RNAcentral's name for it is "Bacterial large subunit ribosomal RNA". It matches the Rfam family "Bacterial large subunit ribosomal RNA", at positions 2656 to 2814 of the family's 2925-position model. Lineage: Eukaryota; Viridiplantae; Streptophyta; Magnoliopsida; Malvales; Malvaceae. The record is from Rfam by way of RNAcentral.